Molecule: ribosomal RNA, 270 nt
Filed under: uncultured bacterium
Lineage: Bacteria
Description: partial 16S ribosomal RNA
Rfam family: Bacterial small subunit ribosomal RNA
Source: RNAcentral
AUUGAACGCUGGCGGCGUGCUUAACACAUGCAAGUCGAGCGGUAACAGGCGUAGCAAUACGUGCUGACGAGCGGCGAACGGGUGAGUAAUGCUUCGGAAUCUACCUCGUAGUGGGGAAUAACUAACCGAAAGGUUAGCUAAUGCCGCAUACGACCUUAGGGUGAAAGCGGGGGAUCGCAAGACCUCGCGCUAUGAGAUGAGCCGAAGUCGGAUUAGCUAGUUGGUGAGGUAACGGCUCACCAAGGCGACAAUCCGUAGCUGGUCUGAGAG